Rosa chinensis is the source of this 2033-nucleotide RNA transcript. RefSeq lists it as uncharacterized. The transcript is spliced from 4 exons. NCBI's taxonomy places the organism in Eukaryota, Viridiplantae, Streptophyta, Magnoliopsida, Rosales, Rosaceae. The record is from RefSeq and is a predicted model, not a curated record.
AUAUAUAUUGUAGAGAAUUGGGACUUCAGCCGCAUCCCAAAAAGCAGCGCAAAACCUUCUUCGUCUCCACAAAACUUGCAGAGGACAACUGGUCAGUCCAGGUUGAUUAGGGGUGACACUCAGCAUGGGGGAGAAGGUCGAAAACUAUUUGUACUUGCAAUUUAAGGAACAUCUUAGAAGGGUGAAUCUUAACAAGCUCGAGGAGCAAAAGGAAUCUCCUGAGUUUGAACUAGUGGCAGAUUUUCUGGAGGAGAAACUCCCCUAUGGAAUGUGUGUUUUUUUGCAAGAUUCGAAUAAAUUGUACAUGGUUGGAGGAGAAAGGAUUCGGAAGAAUGAAACAGCUGGAAGGUAUUGGUGGCAAGGAUUACCCGUUGCUGCAAACGAAUUAGACCCCUCUGGCCUCACUUGUGAUGUUUUUGUGUUAGAUUCCUCCAACGGAAAAAUCUCUGCUGCUCCUGGUUUUCCAAAACCAAAAGGACCAAAGAUCAAUGCCAAAGCUUUGGCCACCAUCGGUGACAAGGUAUACGUGAUGAGUUUUCGGCCAUAUUACUAUCGAGGUACGCUUCCAUCUCCGGCCUUUGAGUGCUAUGAUUCUGCAAAACAGUCAUGGGAGGAGCUGCCUGUGCCUCCAAAAUACUAUCAUUUGCGUUGUGCUUCUCCUACUCAUGGGUUUCAUUUUGUGCUGGGCCCAAAGAUUUAUUUGUGCACUCGUCAUGGGUUCUUUUGUUACAACGUGGAUCAGUCCCCACCUAAAUGGGAAUUCAUAGUAGAUGCAAAGUGGCAUUAUGAUUGGGACACCUCAUAUGAAACAGAAGUGGAAAUGGUAGACCACAAGAUUGAGGACUCCUCACUGCCUCUGAUACCGGCUUGGCCCUACCAUUCUAUAUGUUUUGCAGAACCAGGAAAAGGGGGCCUCGCCGUUGGCUAUACUGCCCAAGGAUUAGUGGGUUACUUCUUUGCGCCUAAUGGCGACCUACUGUAUCAAGAGCCACUUAAUCAGUUGAACAGCAACUCUAAGCUUCCCUCCCCCGAUAACUAUUUCUUUGGUGGAAAAGUUUGCUAUGUAGGUGAAAACAAAUUCUGUCUCAUUCUAUCCGGAGAAAUUGAUCAAACUUCAUGGUCGUUGGCUAUAGCAACUUUUGAUGUGAAAUGGAAAGCGGAUGUUCACAAUGGUGAUGGAGGAGGCUUCUACCAUGAUCUUCCUCUGUGUUAUCAUCAGUUUGACAAUAUUAAUUCGUCUUUUUCUAAUGCUUGCAAAUAUGAGAACAACGAGUCUCCGAGGCUUUAUGAUUACUUCAAUUUCCAGGAUGCCUUCGUCAUAUCCUCCGAGCCUAUGAGCCAGCGUCACCACAACCACAAGCGCAAGCGGAGUAUGAUGGGUGUAGGUUUUCAGUUGGUGUGAAUUGUCUAUGGUUGGGAGGGGUUAGAUAAGGCGUGCACAGUCGAUCGCUCUUGUUAAUGUUGGAUUUUAUGUAGAAAAUUACUCCACAGUUGGAUUUUGGACCUUUGGAGCUUUUCUUUUAGCUGCUUUUGUGCUAUAUAGCCAUGUCAAGCAAAUGGAAGAUGGAAAGUCUUGAAGAUUACCAUUUCUGGUUGCCCAAGUUUUCUUUCAUUUCAGUUCACUGGAAAAACAGUUGGUAUCCUCGGUUUGGGAAGAAUCAGCAAAGCAGUUGCCAAGAGAGCUGAGGCUUUUAGCUGUCCCAUCGCCUACUUUUCCAGAACAGAAAAACCAGAUUUGAAGUACAAGUAUUAUCCUACUGUUCUGGAAUUGGCCUCAUACUGUGUUGUUCUAGUUGUUGCAUGCUCACUUACUGAAGAAACCCGCCACAUCAUCAGUCGUGAAGUCAUUGAUGCUUUGGGGCCAAAGGGUGUUCUCAUUAACAUUGGGAGGGGCCAUCAUGUUGAUGAGCCUGAGUUGGUAUCUGCACUGCUAGAAGGCUGAUUAGGUGGAGCUGGCCUCGAUGUGUGGCUGCUUGAGCUUGAAAAUGUGGUGCUCUUGCCUUAUGCAGGAAGUGACACUACAGAAAAUUGCA